AAAGUUGUGGAUUCUUCCCAGAUAGUGGAGUAGGAGACCUCAUUGAUAAAUCUCUCAUAACUAUUUAUUAUGGACGUGUGUGGAUGCAUGAUUUGAUUCAAGAAAUGGGAAGAGAAAUUGUUCAUAAAGAAUCUCGUGAAAAUCCAGGGCUACGUAGGAGAAUAUGGCUUGACAAGGAUGUCUCUCACAUUCAAGUGAAGAACAUGGUAAGCAAUACUUUGUAGUUACAGACUAUAUUCCAUUCAAUAACUUAAAAUUUUGAGAUAUCUGAUUUUAUGUUUGUCUCUUGUUUCUUAUAUACCUUCGAUUGUCAGGAAGCAAAUGUUAAGGCUAUAGUCUUGCAUUCCUGGAAACAAGAGGAACAAUUGAAUGCUAAACUCUUCUCCAGAAUGAAAGAGCUAAGAUUACUCAUACUCCGAGAUGUACCCGCGUCUCAGGAUAUUGAAUAUCUUUCCAAUGAAUUAAGGUAUUUGGAAUGGUAUAAAUGUCCUUGUAAAUCUUUUCCAUCAAAUUUUCAACCAGGUAAACUUGUCGAGCUCCAUAUGAAAUGCAGCAAUAUUGAACAACUAUGGAAGAGAUCAAUUAAAGUAAGUGUUUCUUUAUUUCUUUAUUUUAGUGUCUAUUACAAUGUCAUGAUAUAUAUGUAUAAUACAUUUUUUUUUGGUAUAUCUUGUUACAGCCCGUUAAUGAGUUGUUGAAGGUCAUUGAUCUUAGUUACUCAAGAAGUCUAAUCAAGACCCCGGACUUUCAAGGGCUCCCGAAUCUUGAGGAGUUGAAUCUUGAAGGGUGUGAGAGCCUGCGUGAAGUACACCAAUCUAUCGGAGUUAUGAAAAGGCUUGUUUUUCUGAACCUGAAGAACUGUAGAAACCUUGUGGCUCUUCCGAGUAGCAUGUGUAACUUGAAGUCCCUUCAGACUCUUAUCUUGAGUGGUUGUUCAAAACUUAUAAAACUUCCAGAUAGGUGGGAGGAUAUGACCUGUUUGGAGAAGCUUGAUGCAACUGGGAUUGGUAUGGAACAAUUGGAAUUAGCUGAACAAUGGGAUUUCCAUCUCCCACCAUGGCUGAUGUCUUGGACUUGGAAGAAUCCACAUCCUAUGGCAAUUGUGUUUUCUUCAGGUUUACCCGCUUUGAAAGAACUAAAUGCAAGUUACUGCAAGCUCCCAGAACGAGCAAUUCCCAAUGACCUCAGUGUCUCCUUCCCCUUCCUGGAACGUCUCGAUCUAAGUGGAAAUAAUUUUGUAAGCUUACCAUCAAGCAUCAGUAAUCUUUCCCAUCUUGAUUCUCUCGAAGUAUCUAAUUGCAAGAGGCUUCAGUUAUUGCCAGAUCUUCCAUCGACAAUUACAAGUCUACAUGCCAAUAAUUGCACUUCUCUGGAAAAUCUUCCAAAUGUAUCUGAAAAACAAAAUAAUCCGGUGAAUAUUUUGAUGGAAUUCUCAAAUUGCUCCAAAUUGAAUGAUAAUUAUCAAGGGAAUAUCAAAGCGGCAUUUACAUGGUUGAAAAGUCACCUUCUUUUUCUUCUAGCAAGUCGUUUGGUGCUUAGCAUGCGACAUGAAAGAUGUUGCCCUGAGGUAUCUCUCUCAAAUCAUUCUUUCCUUUCCUUUUUAUCCCAAUGAACUUUUUUGUGCGUGUCAAGUACUAAUAAAAUAUAGGUAAUAAUUGUUCAUGCAGAAAGGGUACUAUCUAGGUGAGCCACAUUCGCUCAUGUUCCUUGACAUCUCUAUGCGGUUCCCUGGGAGCGAAAUUCCUGAAUGGUUCAACUGUCAGAGUUCCAGCAAUCCGCUGACACUACUCCUACCUCCAUGUGAAAAGUGGUGGAACAUUGCAGGUUUUGUUAUUUGUGUUGUGAUUUCAGGAAAAGCAGUUUAUGACUGUGUUGAGGGGUUAAAUUAUGAAGAUGCUUUUGAACUCUUUUGCUCAAAAGCCAUCAAGAAUAAUUCUCAGGAGGAGGAAUACCGAGAGCUUUGUCAUGAGUUCGUAGAAUAUGCCAGCGGCCUCCCUUUAGCUCUUAAAGUUUUAGGUUCAUCUUUGUUUGGUCAAUCUGUGAAGGAAUGGAACAAGACAUUAGAUAAAUUGAAAAAAAUUCCAAAUGAAGAAAUUCUAAGCAAGCUUCAAUUAAGUUAUGAUGGGCUUGACAGAACAUCACAAGAAAUAUUCCUUGAUAUUGCAUGUUUCUUCAAAGGAAUGGAGACAGAUUAUGUGUUAAAAGUACUAGAAAGUUGUGGAUUCUUCCCAGAUAGUGGAGUAGGAGACCUCAUUGAUAAAUCUCUCAUAACUAUUUGUUGUGGAAGUGUGUGGAUGCAUGAUUUGAUUCAAGAAAUGGGAAGAGAAAUUGUUCAUAAAGAAUCUCGUGAAAACCCAGGGCUACGUAGUAGAAUAUGGCUUGACAAGGAUGUCUCUCACAUUCAAGUGAAGAACAUGG
Molecule: long non-coding RNA, 2418 nt
Filed under: Jatropha curcas
Lineage: Eukaryota; Viridiplantae; Streptophyta; Magnoliopsida; Malpighiales; Euphorbiaceae
Description: long non-coding RNA (JCUR_LNC002740)
Source: RNAcentral